This 497-nucleotide ribosomal RNA is filed under the name uncultured bacterium. Its description in RNAcentral is "partial 16S ribosomal RNA". It matches the Rfam family "Bacterial small subunit ribosomal RNA", at positions 28 to 507 of the family's 1533-position model. The record is from RNAcentral.
GAUGAACGCUGGCGGCGUGCCUAAUACAUGCAAGUCGAGCGAACAGACGAGGAGCUUGCUCCUCUGACGUUAGCGGCGGACGGGUGAGUAACACGUGGAUAACCUACCUAUAAGACUGGGAUAACUUCGGGAAACCGGAGCUAAUACCGGAUAAUAUAUUGAACCGCAUGGUUCAAUAGUGAAAGACGGUUUUGCUGUCACUUAUAGAUGGAUCCGCGCCGCAUUAGCUAGUUGGUAAGGUAACGGCUUACCAAGGCGACGAUGCGUAGCCGACCUGAGAGGGUGAUAGGCCACACUGGAACUGAGACACGGUCCAGACUCCUACGGGAGGCAGCAGUAGGGAAUCUUCCGCAGUGGGCGAAAGCCUGACGGAGCAACGCCGCGUGAGUGAUGAAGGUCUUCGGAGCGUAAAACUCUGUUAUUAGGGAAGAACAAAUGUGUAAGUAACUAUGCACGUCUUGACGGUACCUAAUCAGAAAGCCACGGCUAACUACGUG